Triticum urartu is the source of this 3884-nucleotide non-coding RNA. The record is from RefSeq and is a predicted model, not a curated record. NCBI's taxonomy places the organism in Eukaryota, Viridiplantae, Streptophyta, Magnoliopsida, Poales, Poaceae.
GUUGGCCGUUUCCGCGUGAACGACACUUUGCCCAAUCUGGUCCGCGCGCUACGCACCCAAUCUCGCUCGCACACCAGCCGCCGCACAACCCUAGCUCCCACAUUCCCCUCGAUCCACUGCUCCUCCCUCCUUCCCGCUCGUCACCAGGGCCUCGCCGCCGCCUACUCCUCCUCCCCCACCGUUGCUGCUUCCCCACCUCGACUUCCCUCUCUCCGUUGUUUAUCCGGUCGUCGGCGGCGCCUUGUUCCAGAUCUGGCGCAAGUUAGGCCCGGUGGUGGGGCGAAGGGGCAGUGGAGGUGGGCGACCAGGACAAGCAGCUGUCGGCCCGUCGCGGGUGAGGCUCCAAGAGGGAAGAGGCGGGGACAGGAGGCUCGAGGGAAGAGGGAUGAGGCGGGGACAGGUGAAGGAGCAGGCUGGUCCUCGUGGAGGCGGCGCCGCCGGCCAGGGGCCAUUCACCGUCGCCGGCCUCACUCGCCUCGUCUAUUCUCUCGUCACCAACUCGACAAUGGAGGAUGGGACAAGCAUGCCGGUGGCCAUCCAGUGGAGCCCCACCACAGGUGGUGAGAUUUUUCUCUGCUGUCUUCUUACUCUGGGGCGUGCCCUGGAAGAACUCACCCACACCAGCCAAGGAGGAUCCAUGAUGUGUGUGAGGUAGAGGUGGAUCAUUGGAGGUGAAGCAGGUCUCCUUGAGUUGUGCUUCAUCUGAGUUUCACGGGGUACUUAAGCAAUGGUUGCACCCCGCCACAUCACAUACCAGAUGCUCAGAUUAUAAGAAAGAGAAUUUUAUAAGUCAGGCAUCGAUUGCUCACCUUUGAAAGUUACAGAUUCAAGUGCUAGGCUUUAAGAAUGAAGCAAAUCCCAAUCUAGAAACAUGUUUCGUGCACCAUAUAUUUGUCACCAGAAACGAAUGCGCAGGCGACAGCCAUUUGAUUAGUGUUAUAUCCAACUAAGGUAUCCUUCCACCAAAUGACCACAUCUGAAUUUGUUUAACUACAAUCCGAUGCAAUAGAGUUAUGUAUUGUUCUCAUAGUCCAUCCAUUAUAUUUUGGCUUUCAAGGCUAGCUGACUGCAGUUUGAUUAUCGAUUCAUCUAUGGCAGCACAGACAGGUAAAAAUGUUUUUUUUCUUGUUUUACAGUUUUAGGUCAAAGUUCUCUUUUACCUUAACUUUUCAAUUGUACUCUGCUUUGUAGGUUCUCAUCAUACCGAUUUAGUGACUUACUACAGUUUGAUUGCUAAUUCAUAUUUUAUUCUUUUAUAUUAUGCAGCUUCCUCUGUGUACUGUUGGGAUAAAUUCCAUGACUUUGUAUCUUGUUUAAAUGGCUAGGAUUUGAGAUUGUUUGAAUCCAUUAUGACACAAUGUUCUGACCAUUAACUAGGGUGCUCAAUGCGCAAUAGAUAGCUUUUGGUUGUCACCAUUAGGACAGAAAAGUACUAGAUUUUGAGGUUUUUAAUAGCUCAAAUAUGCUAACUGCAGAGCAACAUGGCAGUUACAAUGGUUCCAUGUCCUAAUUAGUUAUUUUAUUUCGUUUUGCAGGCGUAUUAUCUUGGAGGUUGCUUCUUAUUUUUACUAUAGAUCAAGUUUCUUUGUUUCCUUUCUAGCUACCUCUGCUGCAUUUGUUUUAUAUAUCCUAUAUGCUUUAAAUAUCCUAUACACUGUCAUGAUCCUUGCUUCAGUGAUCAUGUUGAUUUUCCAGAUUUGGUCGGGUGUUGUGUUUUUUUUGGCCCUUGUGCGCUUUGAUCGAUGUGCUCUGGCUCUGUGACUGAUGAUGCACAGGCAAUGGCAGCAUCGGUGGCACGAGAGGAAGGAUGGGAAUCAGCUACUUGCAUUCGCACGGAGGAGGCAAUGUCGACGCGAUGGCACAGCAGAGGAGGCUGGGCUCGUUGUGGAGCUUCUUGAGGCAGCAGGACGUCGGCGAGAGCAUCGCUGCCGGCAACGGCUCGAGUGACCUCUUGAGGAUCUUCUCCAUGAGCACAUGUGACGACACCAACUCCAACGUCAUCUUCUCAGCGCCCGGCAGCAAGAAGGCCGAGGUGCUCGGCGACAGCGAUGUCGGCAUGGUCACCAGCUUCAGCAACAUCGACUCCCAGAACUGAAUAUACACGUAGGAGAAACUUGAGAGCCAAUAUUAGUGCUGAAGGAUUACUCUGAUUGCUGAUCUAUGUUGUCGCGGCAACACAGGCCAAUACACAUUCAGGAAAUAUGUGACCAGCUUCCCCAAGGUCCCGCAUCGUCUACUCAGUAAGCCAAGGUGGAGGUUGGGAAACAAAGAACUUGCCCAACUGUGGAAAUGGGCAGAACUAAACCCUGUAUGUUUUAGCUAGAACUUCCUGCUAUUGUCCUAUUUGAAGGAGCAACAAUGCAUUAAGCGCAAAAAAUACGUCAGUUAGGCCUUUUUUGUCUUACUAUCCAAUUUUACUUCUAUAUACAAAUGUUAAAAGAGUCUGAGUGGGGACACUCUAUUUGGAAAGGGAUUUUGUACAGUUUUUCUGCAAGUUACUACUUCAUUAGUGGAUUGGCCUACAUAGUAUUCAUAAAAAUUAAUCAUCCAAUUCCCUCUAUGUGUCCUUGGUCACAUUUCUUGUCUGUUCAAUUUUUGGAAACCCGCAUCUUAUUUGAAUUGAAACUGCUGAGUGCUUUGACUGAUCCUGACCGAGUCCACACACCAUCACUUACAGAAUACUGGAAGCCACUUGCAGAAGAUGUAAACCCUUUACCUUUUCUUUCAUAGUUACUCCCUCCGUCCCAAAAUAAGUGACUCAACUUUGUACUAGCUUUAGUACAAAGUUAGUACAAAGUUGAAUCACUUAUUUUGGGACGGAGGGAGUACUUUGCACCAAUGGUUCUAAUACUGGGUUUUCAAGAUAAACUUGCAGAUGGACACAUCUGCCAGAGAGACGGCGGCCAUGAGAGCCGGAAGAUCACAAGAGAUCGACCUUUUGGGUGGUCUAAUACUUCCUGUAUGGGCACAUAGAAAAGCCACUACAGAAAGGCACCCGAAGAUACCAAUAUAUUCAGCUCACAGAACAUUUUACAGUCGAGAUUACACCAUCUGCUAGAAUAAAGAGAAAGAAGAACUGCAGAUGUAAAGAAAGAAGAGCUGAAUAAAGACAUAUGAGAGAGCAAGGAACAAGAUCCUUGUUGAAGAACAGCAUGUCCUAAGAAACAAAGGAAGAGAAAGGGAAAAGAAAAUUCCAGCUUUGACAGCAAUCUCCUUCUUUCCAACAACCGAGCAUAGACCAUCAUAUCAUGUUGAGAUGAGGAACUUCCCAGAGCUAUCAACUUUCUCCUAAAAGCAAUACACCUUAUGAAGCUGAAUUCCUACAAAAUUAAAAUCAACAAGAGAGGCAGCUACAGGACAUGAUUCAGUGACAUGAGAGUGAGAAGAGCAAUUGAGUGUAGGUCCUCCAGCCAUUUGAAAAACUUGAUGAGCUAAAUUGUGAGCCACCCCAUUCAAAUUCCUAGAAAUAUGAAAAACUUGGGGAUUAAGAUUAGAAGUAGAGUUUACAAAAGAAGCCACUUCUUUUCUAAUAUUCUAAGGAGUAGAAGAGUGAGCAAUAUUCCUGGCAGCAGCAACAGUGGCAAGAGAAAGAGAAUCAAUUAAAAAAGUAGGAGUUUGAAUGUUAAGGAGUUUGAAUGUUAAGGCAAGCCGCCAAUUGAGCUGCACAAGCAAGAGCAAUUGCUUCAGCUUGAAGAGGAGUGUCCGUCGAAGGGCCUGAAGCUUGAACUUGAAUAUUUAUUUCCCUAUUAGAAGAAGGAAGACAAAAGUAAACUCCCACACCUGUGCGCGAUUGACCUUGCUGAAAUCCUGGAACUCUAGAAGUUCUGAAAGCAGCAUCAGAAAACACUUUAGCACCAUUAAUGAGAAGGUCUGAUUUGAGAGUA